This 468-nucleotide ribosomal RNA is filed under the name uncultured bacterium. RNAcentral describes it as "partial 16S ribosomal RNA". It matches the Rfam family "Bacterial small subunit ribosomal RNA", at positions 28 to 507 of the family's 1533-position model. The record is from RNAcentral.
GACGAACGCUGGCGGCGUGCUUAACACAUGCAAGUCGAACGGAAAGGCCCUGCUUUUGUGGGGUGCUCGAGUGGCGAACGGGUGAGUAACACGUGAGUAACCUGCCCUUGACUUUGGGAUAACUUCAGGAAACUGGGGCUAAUACCGGAUAGGAGCUCCUGCUGCAUGGUGGGGGUUGGAAAGAUUCGGCGGUUGGGGAUGGACUCGCGGCUUAUCAGCUUGUUGGUGGGGUAGUGGCUUACCAAGGCUUUGACGGGUAGCCGGCCUGGGAGGGUUACCGGCCACAUUGGGACUGAGAUACGGACCAGACUCCUACGGGAGGCAGCAGUCGGGAAUAUUGCACAAUGGGGGGAAGCCUGAUGCAGCAACGCCGCGUGCGGGAUGACGGCCUUCGGGUUGUAAACCGCUUUCGCCUGUGACGAAGCGUGAGUGACGGUAAUGGGUAAAGAAGCACCGGCUAACUACGUG